RNAcentral lists this small nuclear RNA (246 nucleotides) under Homo sapiens (human). RNAcentral's name for it is "snRNA-7SK_RNA-related". It matches the Rfam family "7SK RNA", at positions 1 to 245 of the family's 331-position model. From Rfam's summary of the family: 7SK was discovered as an abundant small nuclear RNA in the mid-70s but a possible function has only recently been suggested. Two independent studies have found that 7SK RNA binds the CDK9/cyclin T complex (known as elongation factor P-TEFb). P-TEFb activates transcription by phosphorylating the C-terminal domain of RNA polymerase II. Lineage: Eukaryota; Metazoa; Chordata; Mammalia; Primates; Hominidae. The record is from RNAcentral.
GGAUGUGAGGGUAAUCUGGCUGCAACAGCUGUCACCCCCAUUGAUCACCAGAGUUGAUUUGGCUGAUCUGGUUGGCUAGGCGGGUGUCCCCUUCCUCCCUCACCGCUCCACAUGUGUCCCUCCUGAGGCUGCAUACUUGGUCAAAGAGGAUGACCAUCCCCGAGAGAGGAAGACCGGUCUUCCAUCAAGGGUACAGAAGUAGCCGCGCUCCCCUGCUAGAACCUCCAAACAAACUCUCAAGGUGCA